AAAAAAAGACUAGUCAAAAUGAUAAUUAAUGGAUAAAUAUAUUGCCUUUUUAAAAUUAUUUGGUGACAUAAUUUACUUUAUAUUUAUCUUUUUGUAUAAAUAAUACCAAGAAUAUAAAAUCACACUUUUCAAGAGAAGCACAUCACAAGAUUGUUUAAGACUCAAAAACCAUGAAAAUACAGGCAUCCUUGAUACUCAUGUUCAUCUUCUCUUUCUUUGCUUUACAUCAGUGUGCAAAGAUGAGUGUUAAAGGAAUAGAGGAUUCAAACAUAGUCAUAACAUCAAAUUGUGUUCAGGCUGGGUGUUUUCAUAUAUUUAAAAAAGAUUGUUGGUGCUGUCCAGGACCAGAUCGCAAAUGUUGGAAAGACAAAGCUUCGUGUGAUGCUAUAUGUCCUCGUCCUCCAAAAUAAUGUAAUAAAUCUUAAUGUAUUAGAAAUUGUUUUUCAGUGACGCAUAUUAAAGUAUUCAAUAAUAAAAAAUAAAUUAGUUUUACCUA
Brassica napus (rape) is the source of this 496-nucleotide long non-coding RNA. RefSeq lists it as uncharacterized. The transcript is spliced from 2 exons. The record is from RefSeq and is a predicted model, not a curated record. Lineage: Eukaryota; Viridiplantae; Streptophyta; Magnoliopsida; Brassicales; Brassicaceae.